CCUACGGGAGGCAGCAGUGGGGAAUAUUGGACAAUGGGGGCAACCCUGAUCCAGCCAUGCCGCGUGUGUGAAGAAGGCCCUCGGGUUGUAAAGCACUUUCAGUGAGGAAGAACGCCUGGUGGUUAAUACCCAUCAGGAAAGACAUCACUCACAGAAGAAGCACCGGCUAACUCCGUGCCAGCAGCCGCGGUAAUACGGAGGGGUGCGAGCGUUAAUCGGAAUUACUGGGCGUAAAGCGCGCGUAGGUGGCUUGAUAAGCCGGUUGUGAAAGCCCCGGGCUCAACCUGGGAACGGCAUCCGGAACUGUCAAGCUAGAGUGCAGGAGAGGAAGGUAGAAUUCCCGGUGUAGCGGUGAAAUGCGUAGAGAUCGGGAGGAAUACCAGUGGCGAAGGCGGCCUUCUGGACUGACACUGACACUGAGGUGCGAAAGCGUGGGUAGCAAACAGGAUUAGAUACCCCAGUAGUC
Molecule: ribosomal RNA, 466 nt
Filed under: Vreelandella stevensii
Lineage: Bacteria; Pseudomonadati; Pseudomonadota; Gammaproteobacteria; Oceanospirillales; Halomonadaceae
Description: partial 16S ribosomal RNA
Rfam family: Bacterial small subunit ribosomal RNA
Source: RNAcentral